Molecule: unclassified non-coding RNA, 378 nt
Filed under: plant metagenome
Description: partial contains 5.8S ribosomal RNA, internal transcribed spacer 2, and large subunit ribosomal RNA
Rfam family: 5.8S ribosomal RNA (bases 1-105)
Source: RNAcentral
GAAAUGCGAUAAGUAAUGUGAAUUGCAGAAUUCAGUGAAUCAUCGAAUCUUUGAACGCACCUUGCGCUUCUUGGUAUUCCUUGGAGCAUGCCUGUUUGAGUAUCAUGAAAUCUUCAAAGUAAAUCUUUUGUUAACUCAAUUGGUUUCUACUUUGGUAUUGGAGGUCUUUGCAGCUUCACACCUGCUCCUCUUUGUUCAUUAGCUGGAUCUCAGUGUUAUGCUCGGUCCCACUCGGCGUGAUAAGUUAUCUAUCGCUGAGGACACUGUAAAAGGUGGCCAAGGUAAAUGCAGAUGAACCGCUUCUAAUAGUCCAUUGACUUGGACAAUACUUUUAUGAUCUGAUCUCAAAUCAGGUAGGACUACCCGCUGAACUUAAGC